Molecule: ribosomal RNA, 366 nt
Filed under: uncultured organism
Description: bacterial LSU rRNA
Rfam family: Bacterial large subunit ribosomal RNA
Source: RNAcentral
CUUUACUGCAACUUGACGUUGGAACUUGGCUGUAUUUGUGUAGGAUAGGUGGGAGACUUUGAAGCAGGGCCGCCAGGUCUCGCGGAGUCGUCGUUGAAAUACCACCCUGGUACUGACGAGUUUCUAACCGUGUCCGUAAGCCGGACAUCAGACAGCGUCUGGUGGGCAGUUUGACUGGGGCGGUCGCCUCCUAAAAGGUAACGGAGGCAUUCAAAGGUCCCCUCAGCGUGGUCGGUAAUCACGCGCAGAGUGCAAACGCAUAAGGGGGCUUAACUGCGAGACCGACAGGUCGAGCAGGUACGAAAGUAGGAGUUAGUGAUCCGGCGGUUUAGCGUGGAAUUGCCGUUGCUCAAUGGAUAAAAGGUA